This 4522-nucleotide long non-coding RNA is filed under the name Macaca mulatta (Rhesus monkey). RNAcentral describes it as "lncRNA (ENSMMUG00000060024.1)". Lineage: Eukaryota; Metazoa; Chordata; Mammalia; Primates; Cercopithecidae. The record is from RNAcentral.
AUGCAAGUUGUUAAAGCAGAUCCGGAACACUUCUUCCCAAAUUUAGGAAGGGAGCAAUCCUUUCUAUGCCUUAUCCCUGAUUACACACAUACACACACACACACACACACACACAUACACACAUGUCAGUUCCUCACUUAUAUAAAACAGCUCUAUGCCUUUUUUUUCUACCACACCACACCUCUGUUGUCUUUUUUUCUUUCUUUCUUUCUUUUUUUUUUCCAGCUCCAGGCCCUCUCCUACAGGAAGACUUCCUGGAUUAAUCUGCUAAUCUUCAGCUCAUCCACCUGUUUAAUAGGUGAUUGGAGAACGGUUGAUAUCUCUAGCAGACAUCAUUUGCCCAGAGCAGUGUUUACCUGUUAAUGUCACCAUCCCUUCCCGGAGACCAGGGUCAAACACACUCCUCAUGCUGUUCUGCUUCCUGUCCAUGGCCUUAAGGUCUUCUCAAAGUCUUCUGAAGCAGCUCUUGACUAAAGCUUUCCAAGAGGGUAAGGCAAUUUAGGGUGGGAGGCAGGAACUAGAAGAGAAUAGCCCUAAUGGUGGAUUUCACAGCCGGGCACUUGGCUCUGUGCUUAACAUUUGGUGGAUGUUAUCAGUAACUCUGAGAGGAGGGUACUGCCAAGCCCAUUUUACAGAUGAGAAAGCUGAGUACAGAGAAAACAGCUAACUUGCCCAAGGUCCCUCGGCUGAGGGAGAGGGCUCAGCUGAGGCAGAGGGCUUAAAUGUCAAAUCCAGGUACGUCUGAGUCUGAAGGGUGUGGUCUACACUCAAUAGAUACGCUUCAACAAGACCUCAGUGGCACAAACUAUCAUGGCAACGGUCUCGAACAGGAACUGAAUUAUAGAAUAUUCUUUAAGAAAUACUGCUAUAACAUUUUCUAGCAUCUGUAGCAAUUCAAUUUGAUGGCUAAUAAAAUGCUUCUACAUAUCUCUUCUUAAAAACCCUCUUUAAUUGACAAUACUCAUUUGCAAUUAGCAGUACGGUUUACAUAAAGGCAUCAGAUAUUCUAUGAUUCUUAAAAAUGCUCUUGUGUUAUUCAGUUGGUUAAACAUUCCCCUCUUCAAUCAGGUCUACAAUACCUAUUUGCUUGGCACUAGUGGUAACAGAGAUUGGUUUUGGAGUGGGUCAAUUUGGCCCAGAUUUUUAAGCAUUGACCUAAUUGUGUAUAAUUAUGGUCUUUUUGGUGAAGUGUAUGACAAAACAUUAAAGAACUUUUCAGACAAACUCAUUUGCAAAUCAGGCAAUUUAACCCCCUACUAGACCACAUGCCCAUAUUUCUGCUGUGGCAAAUUUAUUCAUUUAUGAAUAAAUAAAUGAAGUCAGGAAUUAAUUUACUCUCUAUGACCCUGAGAUUUCUACUCUGAGAUGCAAGGAGGGGGACCCUCUUCUAACCCUGGGGAACCUAAGGCCAGUCCUGAGCCUGGUUUCUGGGGAGGGUCAAAAGCUCAGGGUACAGCCUCCUGCCUCUGCAAAGAAUAAUAGGCAGGAGAGUUAAGGAAACUGAGAUCUACAAUCAGCUCAGCUCGAAUGCUAAUUUGCUACUUAACAUGUGCUGGGUACAUGCCACUGCCACCACCCCCUAAUUAGGGGGGGAAAAACAUUCUGUUCUAGUAAACAGAUGACAUUAUAAUUUGAAACUCCGUGACCUCGAAAUACAACUUUUCCCUCUGGUUUGUCAUCCCCAUAAAGAAGGGUUAAAGAUCAACUAUUGUAAAACCAAAGCAUCUCUUUGCUGUUGGUUGGUUUAUAAAUAAACACCUCAUACAACACCUAUUCCCAUUUAGUUACCUGGUGAACACUUAGCAAGUACUUUGUCAUGACAAGUAUACCAGGGAAGCGUGUGAAGCAAAGCCAGACAUUUAAUGGGUAGUUCACCCAGAUUUUGUCUAUAGCUGGUUUUCUUUUUUCUUUCCAGGCAAAACCUACGGUACCAGUCCACACUGAGUGGACCUCUGGGGCUCCCAACUGCCGAUUGACCUGAACCCCAGAGUGAACUCGUGUUGCUUUGUGGCUUUAGGAAACCUUGUAACAUCUCUGUGCUGUUUUUUCAUAUGUGCUAAAUCAUUCCUGAGGCCUCCUCCUCCUGCUGCAGUUUGACAAGCCUUGACCAAAUCAUAAACUCCCAGUUAAUGGGAUAAAAAUGAGCUUGAAUCUGGGAUUCUGGUCAUUAACCCCAUGUCACCAUCUGGUCCAGCAGUUUGAUGGCAGGGCUAGGUGAAUUCUAAUCACCCAACACUUGUUAAACUGCAGAUUCCUGCUUCCCCACCCCUGCUGACUCAGCAUCUCUGGGGUGGGGCCUACAAAGGCUCUCUUCCUUGAUGGGGUUAUUGAGGGCAGCUCUGGUAACCCACCCAGGACCAGACCUGAUGAGGAGUUUCUCCUAUGCAUCAGGCACGCCGGAUCUGUUUGCGGAGUUUCAUACUUGGAUUUUCCUCUGCCUGGAGAGUUCCUUGCAGCUGGCUUCUUCUGUGUCAUGGCCCCAGAGAGGUCUUGGCUGGUCUCCCUAUCUCCACCCUCCACCAUGCUCACUAUUCCAUUACAAGUUUCCUUUUCUACCCAGUACUAAUCAUUUUCUGCAGUUCAUCUCAUCUCCUUGUGAACUAUCUGUUGGUCCCACCAGAAAGUAAGUCUCCACCUAGGGGCAGAGACCCUGCCUGGCUUGUUAGAAGCUAUAUCCCCAGGAUUGAAGCAUAUGAGAGAUGCUCAGAAAUAUAAAAAUUAAUGAACAAAUGAACUCAUGAGUGAAUUCAUUCAGCUCUGAUGCUGAGGUUCCCUCUCUGAGAUGAAAGAAUGGGGGACCUUCUAAUCCUGGGGAACCUGGGGCCUGCCCUGAGCCUGGUUCCUGAGGCAGGUGAGGAACCAACCCCGCCAAUCCACUCAACCCCGUCGAUUGUUACCCCCGCCACCCAGGGAAGACCUCACUGGAGCCAGAGUCAGUGUAGGGGGCAAGAGGAGUCUGUGCACCCAGAGAAUCUUGGCUGAGGUUGCCUGAUUUUAAAAAUCGUGACUUCAGGAGCUAUUGACCAAGUACUCCUUAGCUUCAUUGUCUACAAAACCACAGGUGCAGGUGAAAGUUGACAUUAGGUAUGAACUGAAUACUGUUUAGCUACCCUAUUCAAAAAAUUGUUUUUGUUUGUUUGUUGAGACAGGGUCUCACUCUGUCACUCAGGCUGGAGUGCAGUGACAUGGUCAUAGUUCACUGUGGCCUCGAAUUCCUGGACUCAAGCUCUCCUCCUGCCUCAGCCUCCUGAGUAGCUGAGACUACAAGGUGCCAUUACAUCCAACUAAUUUUUUAAAUUUUUUUUGUAGAAAUGAGGGAUCUUCCCAUGUUGCUCAGGUUUGUCUCGAACUCCUGACCUCAAGGGAUCCUCCUGCCUCAGCCUCCCAAAGCAGCGGCCACAGGCAUGGGCACUGCACUUGGCAUAAAGAAAUAUUCUGUCUUCACUUCUAACUUGGAAUGAACUGCUUACCUUGACACUUCCCAUACCGGCUUCUCUCCACUUUUCAAUCUAACAGGAUAAUGAUGUCAUACAGAAAUAACUUACAGUAGGUAUUUAGUAAAUGCUGGUGUGCAAUAUGAAAUAAAAUUCACAAGAGGAAUUCCAACCUGUUCCUUAUCCUCAAAUAAUUUUUUAAUAGUCAAAAAUUAGUCUGAAAUUUGAGUCCUUGCCCUUCAGUAUAAAAUCAGUAGCUUCUAAUUUUCCCUUAUUUUGUUUGCUUUAAAGAGGCACACCUACCUAUAGUCCCUUAGUCAUGUAAAGGCUGACACCUCCCCACUGGUCUGAAGUGGGGCUUCUGGACCAUGCCUGAUCGCAGCCAUCUGAUCCUAAAGAACCUUUAACCAGGUACCUUUGUUUAAAGAAACAAAAGUCCUCUCCUAAAUAAAAAAAGCAGGCCUGGCUCGAAUCUCUCCAAUGGGUGAAGGAAAGUACCCAGGAGCAGGAGACUUGGAUUUCUGAUUUUAUUUCAUGUUGUUUCCCUUCCUCAAAGGUGUGAAACUCCACCCCACACCACUCCUUUCCUGUUCAUCCUCUACUGGAAGUGUUUUUCUCUAAAUAAUUUUUAUUUUCUAUUUUUGUCUGUAUGUGUUCUCGUCUUUUAUUCUACUUCUGCCCCUCUUUCCCCUGGGAAGGAAAAAUAGAAGAAAGAAGCCAUCUCUGUUUGCUUUCUCUCUGUCACUCAAUCUCUGGAGCCAACUGCUUCACAAAUAAAGAGAAAUGCACAGAGAGUCCCUGAAGCCCACCAUCAACAGACAGACUUUCAACAAAACUGUAUCAGCACCACCUGAUACAGGUGGAAAGGAACAAUGCUAGAGAAGUUCGUCCUUGCCCGGUUCCUGGGUGGAACUUCCUCUCCCCCUUGUGUUCUACGCGUGUGGUUACAGCUGCCUCUGAUCUUUGGUGACCAGCGGUUGGCAGUGGUGGUAUUUUAGCAUACCUUGAUCAUCGUGAUUAUUACACAGCUUCCUUUACUCAACAACCCCACCUACCCUCUUCUAGCCAUACCCCCCACCUCCUCCCAU